Ictalurus punctatus (channel catfish) is the source of this 1252-nucleotide long non-coding RNA. NCBI's taxonomy places the organism in Eukaryota, Metazoa, Chordata, Actinopteri, Siluriformes, Ictaluridae. The record is from Ensembl.
GCAAAGUAAGAAGUAAGAAAAUAAGCUGCUCGAUGAUGAUUAUUGCUGCACUUCAAAACAGAAGAUGAAGACUCGAGUUGAAAUUCAGUCUGUGGAUCACCACGUAACAGUGAUGGAGAAUUUACCCAUAGAUUUCAGAAACAGCGGUCAGAUUGUUGAUGUGAGAUGUGAUGAGAAGCAGAAAGCCAUCACAGAAAGUUUUGCAGAAUUAUUCCAGUGAUUUUAUCUUUUCUCUAAAACCUUCUUCCUUCUGCAGCGUUGUGAGGUUCCUCCCUUGGUGUCGUUGCUCAUCAGCAGACUUCCAGCUGAGUGGAGGCUUUGAGGAUAAGGGAUCUUACUCAAGCGCUGGAAUUUCAACUCUAGACCUUCCAAUCAGUAGCCGAGCGUCUUAACCACAGAUCUCCCGCUGCCUCAUCCUGAAUACUGCAGUCUGCUAGUGAAUGGAGUCUGAAUCUGGGUUCUUCUCGGUAGUGGCUCUGUGAUGAUGGAACAAACGGUGGGAAAGUGAUUAUUUUUCUUCUCCAUGUCCUCAACCGCAGCGCGUGAUUAGGUUAUGGGCCUAAAAUGAUGCCAGACUGGUUUCUUUUUAAUGCAAGAGACCCAUAAAAGUGUCUCAUUAAGUUCAAGUCAGCACCGAUUUCCUGUCUGAGCUGAAAGUAAACGAGCUGCCAGCACACUCUGAAUGCUAACUUCCUCUCAAUGUGUUAUAGUUAUGAUUACAUGUCUGCGUUUUAACAUUUUAACUGCCAUGUGCCCAUAAAACCUUCACACGUUACCAACAUGCAGAGAAAACAUGUAUAUAAAUGGGUAAUAAACAUCAGAAAUCGGCUAAAUAUUAAUUAGCAUUAUUUUAAACAGCUUAACGAUUAACUGGCAUUGUUGUAAAUAAUGUAUAUACUGUAAAAUAUACAAUCUUUUUACGUUGAAGAGGCUAAUACAUAUACUAGCAUUACAGCAAACAGGAGAACACAAACUAGCAUAAACAUAAAACAGGCUAACACACAGAAAAGCAUCAACUAAACUUAACUAAUAUUAUAAUAAACUAACAAAGUUGCAUAACAGUAAAUGGGCUAAUACAAAGUAUAAUUACCUCCCUGCUGAAAAAAAAAUCCAAUUGAAACCAUUACAGAAAUUCUAAUGGUUUUAAUGGAAACUAUAAUGGUCCUUGCGUGUCUCUACUGGUAAUGUGUUGGGUUCUCUUGGUGGCAUGUUUAUAUCUAGUGGAAACCAAUACAAACCAUUAAAUCCUAAU